Molecule: long non-coding RNA, 325 nt
Organism: Myotis davidii
Lineage: Eukaryota; Metazoa; Chordata; Mammalia; Chiroptera; Vespertilionidae
Exons: 2
Source: RefSeq, a predicted model, not a curated record
UCAUUUUUUCCUUUAGACAUUAGAUCAGCAACAGUUUUCUACAGAGGAAGAACUGAAAGAAUAUGAAAAUCUUAUCUGCUUACGAAAAAAUGAACUUAAAAAAGCAGGUGAACUUCAGAAACAAAAAGAAGAACUACAGCGCCAGCAUGACCAACUCGAGGCUCAGAAGCUGGAAUAUCAUCAGGUCAUACAGCAGAUGGAACAAAAAAAAUUACAACAAGAACUUUCUCCAUCAGUGCCUGGUGGAGAAUCGAAGUUCAAGCCACGUAUGUAAUUUUGUUUGCUUAUUUGUUUGAUUAAGGAAAUAAAUUGAAAUCCACAUUUA